RNAcentral lists this ribosomal RNA (1344 nucleotides) under Bondarzewia berkeleyi. RNAcentral's name for it is "eukaryotic LSU rRNA". It matches the Rfam family "Eukaryotic large subunit ribosomal RNA", at positions 87 to 1411 of the family's 3401-position model. Lineage: Eukaryota; Fungi; Basidiomycota; Agaricomycetes; Russulales; Bondarzewiaceae. The record is from RNAcentral.
CUGAUGAUGUGAAGCGGGAAAAGCUCAAAUUUAAAAUCUGGCGGUCUCUGGCCGUCGUACCGAGUUGUAGUCUGGAGAAGCCCAAAUGAUGUCGGACCGUGUACAAGUCCGAUGAUACGGAGCGUCAUAGAGGGUGAGAAUCCCGUCUUUGACACGGACAGCCGAUGCUUUGUGAUGCGCUCUCGAAGAGUCGAGUUGUUUGGGAAUGCAGCUCAAAAUGGGUGGUGAAUUCCAUCUAAAGCUAAAUAUUGGCGAGAGACCGAUAGCGAACAAGUACCGUGAGGGAAAGAUGAAAAGCACUUUGGAAAGAGAGUUAAACAGUACGUGAAAUUGUUGAAAGGGAAACGCUCGAAGUCAGUCGCGUCCGCCGGGACUCAGCCUCGCAAUCUUGCUUGGUGUAUUUUCUGGUGGACGGGCCAGCAUCAAUCCAUGCCGGACAAGGGCUGGAGAACAAUGAAACCUUCGGGUGUGUUAUAGCCAUCUCCGGUCACAUGCGGCGGUCUAGUAGCGGGAUUGAGGACAUGAUAGUCGGUCGGGGCUUCGCCCACGUUCGUGCUUAGGAUGCUGGCGUAAUGGCUUUGAACGACCCGUCUUGAAACACGGACCAAGGAGUCUAACAUGCCCGCGAGUGUUCGGGUGGAAAACCCGUGCGCGUAAUGAAAGUGAAAGUUGGGACCUCUGUCGUGGAGGGCACCGACGCCCGGACCAGAACUCAAUGUAUCUGCGGUAGAGCGUGUAUGUUGGGACCCCAUCGAAAGAUGGUGAACUAUGCCUGAAUAGGGUGACCAUGAAGGAAACUCUGGUGGAGGCUCGUAGCGAUUCUGACGUGCAAAUCGAUCGUCAAAUUUGGGUAUAGGGGCGAAAGACUAAUCCAUGUAUCUAGUAGCUGGUUCCUGCCGAAGUUUCCCUCAGGAUAGCAGAAACUCGUAUCAGAUUCCAGUGUUAAAGCGAAUGAUUAGAGGCCUUGGGGUUGAAACAACCUUAACCUAUUCUCAAACUUUAAAUAUGUAAGAACAAGCCGUCGCUCGAUUGGACCGCUUGGCGAUUGAGAGUUUCUAGUGGGCCAUUUUUGGUAAGCAGAACUGGCGAUGCGGGAUGAACCGAACGCGAGGUUAAGGUGCCGGACCAUCGCUCAUCAGACACCACAAAAGGUGUUAGUUCAUCUAGACAGCAGGACGCGUGGCCAUGGAAGUCGGAAUCCGCUAAGGCCAUGAUAACAACUCACCUGCCGAAUGAACUAGCCCUGAAAAUGGAUGGCGCUCAAGCAAUUCGUACAUACCUCGCCGUCAGCGUUGAAGUGACGCGCUGACGAGUAGGCAGGCGUGGAGGUCAGUCCACUAGCCU